RNAcentral lists this small nucleolar RNA (88 nucleotides) under Drosophila ananassae. RNAcentral's name for it is "snoRNA:GF26112". Lineage: Eukaryota; Metazoa; Arthropoda; Insecta; Diptera; Drosophilidae. The record is from RNAcentral.
GGAAAUGAUGAGAAUGGAUACAUGAAUUAUGUGGCAUGAUUUUUCACAUUAACCGCAACUAAAUUAUCCAAUAGGUCCUACUGAUUAU